AGUGAACGCUGGCGGUAGGCCUAACACAUGCAAGUCGAACGGCAGCACAGUAAGAGCUUGCUCUUCCGGGUGGCGAGUGGCGGACGGGUGAGGAAUACAUCGGACUCUACUUUUUCGUGGGGGAUAACGUAGGGAAACUUACGCUAAUACCGCAUACGACCUACGGGUGAAAGCAGGGGAUCUUCGGACCUUGCGCGAUUGAAUGCGCCGAUGUCGGAUUUGCUAGUUGGCGGGGUAAAGGCCCACCAAGGCGACGAUCCGUAGCUGGUCUGAGAGGAUGAUCAGCCACACUGGAACGGAGACACGGUCCAGACUCCUACGGGAGGCAGCAGUGGGGAAUAUUGGACAAUAGGCGCAAGCCUGAUCCAACCAUACCGCGUGGGUGAAGAAGGCCUUCGGGUUGUAAAGCCCUUUUGUUGGGAAAGAAAAGCAGCAGGUUAAUACCCCGCUGUUCUGACGGUACCCAAAGAAUAAGCACCGGCUAACUUCGUG
RNAcentral lists this ribosomal RNA (492 nucleotides) under uncultured bacterium. RNAcentral's name for it is "partial 16S ribosomal RNA". It matches the Rfam family "Bacterial small subunit ribosomal RNA", at positions 29 to 507 of the family's 1533-position model. The record is from RNAcentral.